Molecule: ribosomal RNA, 465 nt
Filed under: uncultured bacterium
Lineage: Bacteria
Description: partial 16S ribosomal RNA
Rfam family: Bacterial small subunit ribosomal RNA
Source: RNAcentral
GACGAACGCUGGCGGCGUGCUUAACACAUGCAAGUCGAACGGAAAGGCCCUGCUUGCAGGGUACUCGAGUGGCGAACGGGUGAGUAACACGUGGGUGAUCUGCCCUGCACUUCGGGAUAAGCCUGGGAAACUGGGCCUAAUACCGGAUAGGAGCCAUUUUUAGUGUGUUGGUUGGAAAGUUUUUUCGGUGUAGGAUGAGCUCGCGGCCUAUCAGCUUGUUGGUGGGGUAAUGGCCUACCAAGGCGGCGACGGGUAGCCGGCCUGAGGGGGUGGACGGCCACAUUGGGACUGAGAUACGGCCCAGACUCCUACGGGAGGCAGCAGUGGGGAAUAUUGCACAAUGGGCGCAAGCCUGAUGCAGCGACGCCGCGGGGGGGAUGACGGCCUUCGGGUUGUAAACUCCUUUCGCUAGGGACGAAGCUUUUUGUGACGGUACCUAGAUAAGAAGCACCGGCUAACUACGUG